GUGCUUGCACCUAAUCUUAGCGGCGGACGGGUGAGUAAUGCUUAGGAAUCUGCCAUUUAGUGGGGGACAACAUUCCGAAAGGAAUGCUAAUACCGCAUACGCCCUACGGGGGAAAGCAGGGGAUCUUCGGACCUUGCGCUAAAUGAUGAGCCUAAGUCGGAUUAGCUAGUUGGUGGGGUAAAGGCCUACCAAGGCGACGAUCUGUAGCGGGUCUGAGAGGAUGAUCCGCCACACUGGGACUGAGACACGGCCCAGACUCCUACGGGAGGCAGCAGUGGGGAAUAUUGGACAAUGGGCGGAAGCCUGAUCCAGCCAUGCCGCGUGUGUGAAGAAGGCCUUUUGGUUGUAAAGCACUUUAAGCGAGGAGGAGGCUACCUGGAUUAAUACUCUCGGAUAGUGGACGUUACUCGCAGAAUAAGCACCGGCUAACUCUGUGCCAGCAGCCGCGGUAAUACAGAGGGUGCGAGCGUUAAUCGGAUUUACUGGGCGUAAAGCGUGCGUAGGCGGCUGAUUAAGUCGGAUGUGAAAUCCCUGAGCUUAACUUAGGAAUUGCAUUCGAUACUGGUCAGCUAGAGUAUGGGAGAGGAUGGUAGAAUUCCAGGUGUAGCGGUGAAAUGCGUAGAGAUCUGGAGGAAUACCGAUGGCGAAGGCAGCCAUCUGGCCUAAUACUGACGCUGAGGUACGAAAGCAUGGGGAGCAAACAGGAUUAGAUACCCUGGUAGUCCAUGCCGUAAACGAUGUCUACUAGCCGUUGGGGCCUUUGAGGCUUUAGUGGCGCAGCUAACGCGAUAAGUAGACCGCCUGGGGAGUACGGUCGCAAGACUAAAACUCAAAUGAAUUGACGGGGGCCCGCACAAGCGGUGGAGCAUGUGGUUUAAUUCGAUGCAACGCGAAGAACCUUACCUGGCCUUGA
RNAcentral lists this ribosomal RNA (913 nucleotides) under Acinetobacter parvus. RNAcentral's name for it is "bacterial SSU rRNA". It matches the Rfam family "Bacterial small subunit ribosomal RNA", at positions 76 to 984 of the family's 1533-position model. The record is from RNAcentral. Lineage: Bacteria; Pseudomonadati; Pseudomonadota; Gammaproteobacteria; Moraxellales; Moraxellaceae.